GACGAACGCUGGCGGCGUGCUUAACACAUGCAAGUCGAACGGAAAGGCCCUGCUUUUGUGGGGUGCUCGAGUGGCGAACGGGUGAGUAACACGUGAGUAACCUGCCCUUGACUUUGGGAUAACUUCAGGAAACUGGGGCUAAUACCGGAUAGGAGCUCCUGCUGCAUGGUGGGGGUUGGAAAGUUUCGGCGGUUGGGGAUGGACUCGCGGCUUAUCAGCUUGUUGGUGGGGUAGUGGCUUACCAAGGCUUUGACGGGUAGCCGGCCUGAGAGGGUGACCGGCCACAUUGGGACUGGGAUACGGCCCAGACUCCUACGGAGGGCAGCAGUGGGGAAUAUUGCACAAUGGGCGGAAGCCUGAUGCAGCAACGCCGCGUGCGGGAUGACGGCCUUCGGGUUGUAAACCGCUUUCGCCUGUGACGAAGCGUGAGUGACGGUAAUGGGUAAAGAAGCACCGGCUAACUACGUG
Molecule: ribosomal RNA, 468 nt
Filed under: uncultured bacterium
Lineage: Bacteria
Description: partial 16S ribosomal RNA
Rfam family: Bacterial small subunit ribosomal RNA
Source: RNAcentral